RNAcentral lists this long non-coding RNA (1124 nucleotides) under Ricinus communis (castor bean). RNAcentral describes it as "long non-coding RNA (RCOM_LNC001567)". Lineage: Eukaryota; Viridiplantae; Streptophyta; Magnoliopsida; Malpighiales; Euphorbiaceae. The record is from RNAcentral.
AGCUUUUUUAGGACAACCUUCUCCACCAAUUUUCUAGCCUAUUACGGGUAUGUUCUUGUAAGAAUAAGUCAUCCAAAUGAUCAUCUAUACUUAAUUUGAUCUUAGCUACCCAACAUUUUGCCCAUCUUCAAUGUUCCAAAGAGAGGAAUUUUUAGGAAUCAUGGCGAGCUGCUGUCAUUCUUCUCUUUUGAUGUCACCAGCUCCGACAACAUUAUCAACUAUGGCAAGCUUUCCAACCAGCUCCCUUACAUAAGCUUUUGAACCUAAAACUUUCUCAUCCUCUCAGUCUUAAUUGAUUGUUAAAUUAAAUUAGGUUUAAGGUAAGUAAAAAUAGGUUCUUUAAUUUUUGAUUUUUGCCUCAUCUUUAAAAUGGGUGAGAACUAGAUCUAUUCAUGUAGGAAUUAGAUGAUUGUGCUGGGUUGUUAGGUUGUUGGCUUAAAUUGGGUGUUAAUUUAUUUUCAAACUAUAUCAUUUUAAUAAUAAUAAACUCAUGACCAAAACUUUUAAAUAAUUAGCUAGAUAACCUGCCGUGACCUUACUUAUGGAUAUUAGAAAGUGGCCAAUCAUAUUAAUUUUAUGUAAAAUGAUUUAGACUUUGAGUUAGUAUGGUAUUACUUGUAGUUAAAUGCAAGAGUAUUUGUUUUAAAUGAAUUUAAAGAAAAAAAUAUAGAAUAUAAGACAUUAAAGCUAGUUAAGGAGAAGUAAUAAAAAUGCCCUAUCAGAUCAUUACGUCGUUCAUCCUUAAGUGGUGAUUUGUUUAAUAGAUAUAAUUAUUAGAAAUGAUUCUUUCUUUAUCAUAAAAACCAUGAAUAUGCAUUUCUUUUCAUAUGCAUCAAUUCUAACUUGCUGUAUUGAAUCUUAGCCAAUAUCAAUAAUAAGGCUCAUGCAUUUUAAUAAGCAUGAACAUAAUUUUAGGAGUGAGCAUCAUAUAGACUUAGAAAAUGUUUAUAUUAAUAUGGUUUGAAAUGUAUUAAUGAAACCCAAAUGAAUAAAAGAAAAUAAAAAUGUUAGUGUUGCAUUCUUAUGGUGACUUUCUAUUGGCCCUUCUUGUAUUUUUUUUCCUCUCUAAUUGUCUUUUUUAUAUGCAAGUUUAGUAACAUUAUGAUUCGUUAACUGCUAAAUUA